UAGGCUCGAAUUUUCAUAGGGUGUCAUCUUCUCGGAUAGUCUCAGGCCAACAUUUUUUAUUUAUUGAUAUAUCAAUUUUUUCUAAUAAAUUAGAGUUGAGGGAUCUAAAUGUACAAUAUUCUUGGUACAUGUAGAUGUUUGUUGAAGUGAACUUUUGUUAGCGUGUCAAUAUAUAUCAAAUUAAGAUAACAAAUUUUAUUGAGGUAAGUGCAUUAUCUUUCUUACUCUUCACUUUAUUUUAGUAGUUUUACUCUUUUAAUUGUUUUUUUAUUAAUGUUUAAGUUUUUUUCUCUUUUAAGUACAAGUUGUGUAGAAACUUAUGUAAUUAGAUUUAGUUAAACUCAUUUCCCAUGAAAUAUUAUCUUAAUAUACACAUUAAAAAAAUAUAUGAGUACAAUAGUUAUGGAGCAUUGGAUGAUAAGUUAGUGAUCAUUGAUACUUUAAUUCUUUUGUUGUACACAAAAUCGUACCACAAUUUUGUAUGCUCGUGAUAGACAUUGUGAAUCUUGCUUAGCUCUGCAUCUAAACUUGCUACUCAUGUUAAUUGUUCGUGAUUGACUCACGUUCAAAUGUAGUUCCUAUUGUAAUUUGUUACUUACCACAAAUGAUAAUCUCCAAUUAAGUAGGUAGUACAUAUGUUUGGUAUGGAAUUUAGGAUAUGUUUGGUGUGAAUUUGGAAACAAAAGAUUUUAUGAAAAUAAAGUUGUAUUAAUUACGUGAUGUUUUUAUGUAUGUGUUUGAUAAUAAAUCCAAAAAUUAGAUUCUAGUAAAAUGUUGUUGAUAUUGUAUUUAUAAAUUGUAAAACUAAUUGUUGUUACCUACUAAAUAUUAAAUUGUUUAAACUAUUAUUAACUAAUUUGUGCACGAGUUUUAUCAUGUUAAAAAAGUGUAUAAAUAAUUUUUUAUAAUAGCAUAUAUAAUUUGAGAAAAUUAUUUUAAAUGAUUUUCUUUUGAAAAUAUAGACACAUAAUAUAAUCUAUUAUAGUUUAUCGUGAAUAGAUUAUAAUAUUUUACAUAUUUUUAAAAGUUUUAUCAUUUAAAAUAAUUUUUGUAAAGUUUAUAACAUAAAAUAUUCCUAAAUAUUUAUAUUUAUAUUUGAUAUAAUUUUGCUUUUUAAAAUUUAAAAUUCAAAAUCUAAAUAUACUAAAAACAUUAAAAAGAAUAUAUUGUUUUCAAAAGUUAAGCAGUUUGAAUCAUAGAAUAAAAAAUUAAGUUUCAAAACAAAAUUUAGAUAGUCUAUUUAAUCUAUCACAUAAUUUAAUUUCCACCGAGUUUUAAACAUGUAAAAUAUAGCCAUAUAAAGUCUUCAAAUAUUAGAAUUUAUGUUACUAAAAUUUGUAUCUGGUCAUAAACACUUCAUAGAGUAGCAUAGAUACGUUAGCCCCAUCAAGGCAAUCUUCUAAACACAUUGUCUCUAAUACACAAUCAUUCUACAACUAUUCAUUGUUUCAAUUUAACUAUACAUCAUUUUUAAAAUGAAUAAUUUGAUCAUAUAGCAACUUUUAAAGUUGCAUUUGGAAUUAUGGAAGAAAAAAAAAACAUUAGAUUUAAAGUGUUUCAUGUAUUCAACUAUUAGAGCCUUGAAUCCCAAUAAAGUCAGCCAUAUUCCUAUUUCCCCGUUCCUUUCCAUCUUAAAGAUGAAGGCUUGUUGAGUUCUUGAACCUGAGGGGAUGUAAGUUGUUGAUUCUAGCUUUAUGCAGUUGCAAGUGAGUUGCAACGAUGAUCCAAAUCCGCAUCCGAAUCCGAACCCGAACUGAGGACAUUUUUUCUCUAUUUGAAAUUUACAUUUAUACACUUUUGUCGUCCCAAUUUGAGGACUAUACAUAGAGGCCUUUUAUAUACAGAACUUUAUGGUAAUUAAUUUUCCUAACCUAUAUUUUUUUCUCAAUGAAAAUUGAAGGGGAAAAAGAAAAGAACGGAAAAGGAAAGAAAAACUCUGUAAAGCGCAAAUAAAUAUGAAAAAGAAAAGGAAAGGAAAGUUCCCUUCGAAAUUACUGCCAUCUUCUACCAGACUUGAGUCCCGUUACAGUUUU
This 2033-nucleotide long non-coding RNA is filed under the name Cucumis sativus (cucumber). Its description in RNAcentral is "long non-coding RNA (CSAT_LNC001263)". Lineage: Eukaryota; Viridiplantae; Streptophyta; Magnoliopsida; Cucurbitales; Cucurbitaceae. The record is from RNAcentral.